Molecule: transfer RNA, 27 nt
Filed under: Columbina passerina (common ground-dove)
Lineage: Eukaryota; Metazoa; Chordata; Aves; Columbiformes; Columbidae
Also listed under: 2 other names
Description: partial tRNA-Trp
Source: RNAcentral
GAAACUUAGGAUAGAUCCAAACCAAAG